This 574-nucleotide ribosomal RNA is filed under the name Salmonella enterica. RNAcentral describes it as "partial 23S ribosomal RNA". It matches the Rfam family "Bacterial large subunit ribosomal RNA", at positions 667 to 1238 of the family's 2925-position model. The record is from RNAcentral. Lineage: Bacteria; Pseudomonadati; Pseudomonadota; Gammaproteobacteria; Enterobacterales; Enterobacteriaceae.
CGGAGGGAAACCGAGUCUUAAUUGGGCGUUAAGUUGCAGGGUAUAGACCCGAAACCCGGUGAUCUAGCCAUGGGCAGGUUGAAGGUUGGGUAACACUAACUGGAGGACCGAACCGACUAAUGUUGAAAAAUUAGCGGAUGACCUGUGGCUGGGGGUGAAAGGCCAAUCAAACCGGGAGAUAGCUGGUUCUCCCCGAAAGCUAUUUAGGUAGCGCCUCGUGAAUUCAUCUCCGGGGGUAGAGCACUGUUUCGGCUAGGGGGCCAUCCCGGCUUACCAACCCGAUGCAAACUGCGAAUACCGGAGAAUGUUAUCACGGGAGACACACGGCGGGUGCUAACGUCCGUCGUGAAGAGGGAAACAACCCAGACCGCCAGCUAAGGUCCCAAAGUCAUGGUUAAGUGGGAAACGAUGUGGGAAGGCCCAGACAGCCAGGAUGUUGGCUUAGAAGCAGCCAUCAUUUAAAGAAAGCGUAAUAGCUCACUGGUCGAGUCGGCCUGCGCGGAAGAUGUAACGGGGCUAAACCAUGCACCGAAGCUGCGGCAGCGACGCUUAUGCGUUGUUGGGUAGGGGAGCG